Molecule: small nuclear RNA, 189 nt
Organism: Cebus imitator (Panamanian white-faced capuchin)
Lineage: Eukaryota; Metazoa; Chordata; Mammalia; Primates; Cebidae
Gene: U2
Rfam family: U2 spliceosomal RNA
About the family: U2 is a small nuclear RNA (snRNA) component of the spliceosome (involved in pre-mRNA splicing). Complementary binding between U2 snRNA (in an area lying towards the 5' end but 3' to hairpin I) and the branchpoint sequence (BPS) of the intron results the bulging out of an unpaired adenosine, on the BPS, which initiates a nucleophilic attack at the intronic 5' splice site, thus starting the first of two transesterification reactions that mediate splicing.
Source: Ensembl
AGCCGUUCUAGGUAUUUUGGCUAAUAUCAACUGAAGGAUCUGUUUUUAUCGGUUUAAUAUCUGGGACAUCCUUUAUCCCAGGACAAUAUAUUAAGUUGAGUUUUGGAGCAGGGAGAAUGUUGAAAAUAAUAUGCACAUGCUUAAUGUUGACCAUUUGUUCCUGUUAAUCAGAUGUUCUGCCUAAAACUG